Molecule: ribosomal RNA, 253 nt
Filed under: uncultured bacterium
Lineage: Bacteria
Description: partial 16S ribosomal RNA
Rfam family: Bacterial small subunit ribosomal RNA
Source: RNAcentral
UACGAAGGGUGCAAGCGUUAUUCGGAAUCAUUGGGCGUAAAGGGUGUGUAGACGGUAUAUUAAGUCUGUUGUUAAAUGCUCCAGCCUAACUGGAGACCUGCAGUGGAAACUGAUAUGCUAGAGGGUGGAAGAGAGAAGUGGAAUUCUCGGAGUAGCGGUAAAAUGCGUAGAUCUCGAGAGGAACACCAAUGGCGAAGGCAGCUUCUUAGUCCAUUCCUGACGUUGAAACACGAAAGCGUGGGGAGCAAACAGG